Molecule: ribosomal RNA, 374 nt
Filed under: uncultured organism
Description: partial 16S ribosomal RNA
Rfam family: Bacterial small subunit ribosomal RNA
Source: RNAcentral
GUAGGUGGCAAGCGCUGUCCGGAAUUAUUGGGGCGUAAAGCGCGCGCAGGCGGUUCUUUAAGUCUGAUGUGAAAGCCCACGGGCUCAACCGUGGAGGGUCAUUGGAAACUGGAGAACUUGAGUACAGAAGAGGAAAGCGGAAUUCCACGUGUAGCGGUGAAAUGCGUAGAGAUGUGGAGGAACACCAGUGGCGAAGGCGGCUUUCUGGUCUGUAACUGACGCUGAGGCGCGAAAGCGUGGGGAGCAAACAGGAUUAGAUACCCUGGUAGUCCACGCCGUAAACGAUGAGUGCUAAGUGUUAGGGGGUUUCCGCCCCUUAGUGCUGCAGCUAACGCAUUAAGCACUCCGCCUGGGGAGUACGGCCGCAAAGGCUG